UGGGGAAUAUUGGACAAUGGGGGCAACCCUGAUCCAGCAAUGCCGCGUGAGUGAAGAAGGCCUUCGGGUUGUAAAGCUCUUUUGUCAGGGAAGAAACGGUAGUAGCGAAUAACUAUUACUAAUGACGGUACCUGAAGAAUAAGCACCGGCUAACUACGUGCCAGCAGCCGCGGUAAUACGUAGGGUGCAAGCGUUAAUCGGAAUUACUGGGCGUAAAGCGUGCGCAGGCGGUUGUGUAAGUCAGAUGUGAAAUCCCCGGGCUCAACCUGGGAAUUGCAUUUGAGACUGCACGGCUAGAGUGUGUCAGAGGGGGGUAGAAUUCCACGUGUAGCAGUGAAAUGCGUAGAUAUGUGGAGGAAUACCGAUGGCGAAGGCAGCCCCCUGGGAUAACACUGACGCUCAUGCACGAAAGCGUGGGGAGCAAACAGGAUUAGAUACCCGAGUAGUCCCUGAGCGGGCUGGCAAGGCGCAU
Molecule: ribosomal RNA, 472 nt
Filed under: uncultured bacterium
Lineage: Bacteria
Description: bacterial SSU rRNA
Rfam family: Bacterial small subunit ribosomal RNA
Source: RNAcentral